CCUACGGGAGGCAGCAGUGGGGAAUAUUGCGCAAUGGGCGAAAGCCUGACGCAGCGACGCCGCGUGAGGGAUGAAGGUCUUCGGAUCGUCAACCUCUGUCAGCAGGGAAGAACGGUCACUGUGCUAAUCAGCAGUGAAUUGACGGUACCUGCAAAGGAAGCACCGGCUAACUCCGUGCCAGCAGCCGCGGUAAUACGGAGGGUGCGAGCGGUAAUCGGAAUUACUGGGCGUAAAGCGCUCGUAGGCGGUAUGUCAAGUCAAGGGUGAAAUCACCGCGCUCCACGUGGGAACUGCCUUUGAAACUGGCAAACUGGAGUGUGUGAGAGGAUAGUGGAAUUCCAGGUGUAGGAGUGAAAUCCGUAGAUAUCUGGAGGAACAUCAGUGGCGAAGGCGACUAUCUGGCACAUAACUGACGCUGAGGAGCGAAAGCGUGGGUAGCAAACAGGAUUAGAUACCCCUGUAGUC
RNAcentral lists this ribosomal RNA (465 nucleotides) under uncultured bacterium. Its description in RNAcentral is "partial 16S ribosomal RNA". It matches the Rfam family "Bacterial small subunit ribosomal RNA", at positions 338 to 795 of the family's 1533-position model. The record is from RNAcentral.